GACGAACGCUGGCGGCGUGCCUAACACAUGCAAGUCGUACGAGGACGGUCCUUCGGGACCGAGCCGAGUGGCGGACGGGUGAGUAACACGUGACCAAUCUGCCUUUGAGAGGGGGAUAACCUGGGGAAACCCGGGCUAAUACCGCAUGAUGUGCCGUGGUCGCAUGGCCGUGGCAUUAAAGGGAGGCCUCUACUUGUAAGCUUCCGCUCGAAGAGGAGGUCGCGACGUAUCAGCAGUUGGUAGGGUAACGGCCUACCAAGGCUACGACGCGUAGCGGGUCUGAGAGGACGACCCGUCACAUUGGGACUGAGAUACGGCCCAGACUCCUACGGGAGCAGCAGUGGGGAAUAUUGCGCAAUGGCCGAAAGGCUGACGCAGCGACGCCGCGUGUGGGAGGAAGCCC
This 403-nucleotide ribosomal RNA is filed under the name uncultured bacterium. Its description in RNAcentral is "bacterial SSU rRNA". It matches the Rfam family "Bacterial small subunit ribosomal RNA", at positions 28 to 416 of the family's 1533-position model. The record is from RNAcentral.